CGUGUAAACGAUAUACACUUAAAAUUAAAAUAAAGUUCAAAAUUUGUUUACAUAAAAAAUUAAAAUGCAACUACAUUGUUUCGUGAACAAAAUAAUUAUUUCAAUAGUUUUCAUCAUAACUUAUAAUGAAUUACGACUACCGAUUGUCUGUGCAUAUCCCGAACCCGAACCAGGAUCAAAUUACAAGAGCUUGGGUAAUAUUUACUAGUAAAAUCUUCAUAUUUAUUUAAUUCUGUGUUCAAAUGUACACGAUUUUUAAGGUCACUACAAUACGGAUCCCUACAUAACCAUUUCCGGUAUUUCUGCCGGUGGUGCAUUCUCCAUGAUGCUCGCCUUUAUCCACUCGUCGUUCAUAAAAGGGGCCGGAAUAUUUGCAGGCGCCCCCUUCCCCAUUGCUUUGGUGGCGUUGGAAAAAUUUUGGAAUUUUGGAAAUUUCUCAGCCAUGACGACAUGGACGGACUAUCUUGCCCACAAAGGAUGGAUUGACGAUCCGUAUAAAAAUAUGAGGAGCAAUUUAGGAGCAUUCAUUUAUCAUGGCAGUGCGGAUCAAAUAGUGCCAAAAUUCUAUUCUGAAAUGAAUUUAAGACAAUUUGAACACUACGGGGUUCCCAGGACAAAAAAUUUGAUUUCAAAAGUUCCUUCUGGACAUUCUGUUCUGUUCUGUUCAAUCUUUUACGUCUGCGGUAUAUGAUAUGUGAGCCACAUCGUUUCCAAUACCAAGACAGGGAUAGAUACUGACAUCAACAACUACAAGGAAAGCCAAUUAAUGCUACCGGAGGUUCUGAAUUCGACUAUCGCAUCUGCUCCAUCGGUGUGUAUAAUGGAGUCUGUGCCUGUGGCUAUGCUGGGAUUUACGACAUGUUUUCCUUCUUAUAUCAAGAUAAGUACAUCGCUCCAACGUACGAACCGGGUACUUCGGGACAUCUCUUCAAAUUCAAUCAGGACGAAUUUUUCGAUUUCGGAUCUGCAAAAAAACACGGCUUUUAUCCACACGGGUACGCUUAUGUCCCGUUCCGUUGUCGACCGGAGACUGGGAUUAAGUGUCGACUUCAUUUCGCAUUUCAAGGCUGCUCACAAAGUCUCGCAGAUCUCUGGGUUUUCAAAAAGCCACCCAGCUUCAUUCAAGAAACGGGCUAUUUGGAAGUUGCUGAUGCAAAUGAUAUCAUCAUGGUGUUUCCGUUGUCUUGGAUCGACCCUAAAAAUGUGGGGUUCAAUUUUGUCGGCUGUUUUGACAUCUAUUCUCAUACGGAUCCGUUCAGGAUUAAAUUUGCAACUCGAUGGGGAUAUCAACCACUUGCAGUUAAGAGAAUGUUUGCAGUUAAGACAAUAAUAAGUACAUACACACAUACAUAAAUGAUGAUAAAACACAAGGUGCCAAAUUGUAUCUACAUUGGUUGUGGAAAUGUUUGAAGAGUAGUCCCAGCCGAAAAUGUCAGUUUUGAAAUAAAUUGGGAAAGCCCGUAUAACAAUGAAAAGAUGUGUCCCGGAUC
Long non-coding RNA from Folsomia candida, 1490 nucleotides. RefSeq lists it as uncharacterized. The record is from RefSeq and is a predicted model, not a curated record. Lineage: Eukaryota; Metazoa; Arthropoda; Collembola; Entomobryomorpha; Isotomidae. The transcript is spliced from 4 exons.